Molecule: long non-coding RNA, 213 nt
Filed under: Brachypodium distachyon (stiff brome)
Lineage: Eukaryota; Viridiplantae; Streptophyta; Magnoliopsida; Poales; Poaceae
Description: long non-coding RNA (BDIS_LNC005961)
Source: RNAcentral
GCAAAUCACAAGCUGCUGAGAAGGGAUGUUACAACCUUCUGUAGUUCGAAAAAGACUUCUUCUGGAUAGAUAUACAACUGGGAACAUAUGAAAAAGAUAUGCGAUGAAAGCUCUGAAAACUCUGGCUGGUGGCUAACUUUUGUCCAAAAUCUGAGGUUCUUUACCACACAGCCCUGUAAUGCGAUAUAUCAAGGUUGUCAUGGGAAGACUGUU